RNAcentral lists this ribosomal RNA (492 nucleotides) under uncultured bacterium. RNAcentral describes it as "partial 16S ribosomal RNA". It matches the Rfam family "Bacterial small subunit ribosomal RNA", at positions 29 to 507 of the family's 1533-position model. The record is from RNAcentral.
AGUGAACGCUGGCGGUAGGCCUAACACAUGCAAGUCGAACGGCAGCACGGUAAGAGCUUGCUCUUACGGGUGGCGAGUGGCGGACGGGUGAGGAAUACAUCGGAAUCUACUUUUUCGUGGGGGAUAACGUAGGGAAACUUACGCUAAUACCGCAUACGACCUACGGGUGAAAGCAGGGGAUCUUCGGACCUUGCGCGAUUGAAUGAGCCGAUGUCGGAUUAGCUAGUUGGCGGGGUAAAGGCCCACCAAGGCGACGAUCCGUAGCUGGUCUGAGAGGAUGAUCAGCCACACUGGAACUGAGACACGGUCCAGACUCCUACGGGAGGCAGCAGUGGGGAAUAUUGGACAAUGGGCGCAAGCCUGAUCCAGCCAUACCGCGUGGGUGAAGAAGGCCUUCGGGUUGUAAAGCCCUUUUGUUGGGAAAGAAAAGCAGCAGGUUAAUACCCCGCUGUCCUGACGGUACCCAAAGAAUAAGCACCGGCUAACUUCGUG